GGGGCUGUGGCGGAACUGGCAGACGCGCUAGAUUUAGGUUCUAGUACCGCAAGGUGUGCAGGUUCGAUUCCUGUCAGCCCUAC
Molecule: transfer RNA, 83 nt
Filed under: Aureliella helgolandensis
Lineage: Bacteria; Pseudomonadati; Planctomycetota; Planctomycetia; Pirellulales; Pirellulaceae
Description: Planctomycetes bacterium Q31a tRNA-Leu
Rfam family: tRNA
About the family: Transfer RNA (tRNA) molecules are approximately 80 nucleotides in length. Their secondary structure includes four short double-helical elements and three loops (D, anti-codon, and T loops).
Source: RNAcentral